AACCAUUCUCACCUGCGGCUAGACCUGCGGAAGGAUCAUUACCGAGUUUACAACUCCCAAACCCCUGUGAACAUACCUAUACGUUGCCUCGGCGGAUCAGCCCGCGCCCUGUAAAAAGGGACGGCCCGCCCGAGGACCCCUAAACUCUGUUUUUAGUGGAACUUCUGAGUAAAACAAACAAAUAAAUCAAAACUUUCAACAAUGGAUCU
RNAcentral lists this unclassified non-coding RNA (209 nucleotides) under soil metagenome. RNAcentral describes it as "partial contains 5.8S ribosomal RNA, internal transcribed spacer 2, and large subunit ribosomal RNA". The record is from RNAcentral.